RNAcentral lists this ribosomal RNA (495 nucleotides) under uncultured bacterium. RNAcentral's name for it is "partial 16S ribosomal RNA". It matches the Rfam family "Bacterial small subunit ribosomal RNA", at positions 28 to 507 of the family's 1533-position model. The record is from RNAcentral.
GACGAACGCUGGCGGCGUGCCUAAUACAUGCAAGUAGAACGCUGAAGGAGGAGCUUGCUUCUCUGGAUGAGUUGCGAACGGGUGAGUAACGCGUAGGUAACCUGCCUGGUAGCGGGGGAUAACUAUUGGAAACGAUAGCUAAUACCGCAUAAGAGUAGAUGUUGCAUGACAUUUGCUUAAAAGGUGCAAUUGCAUCACUACCAGAUGGACCUGCGUUGUAUUAGCUAGUUGGUGGGGUAACGGCUCACCAAGGCGACGAUACAUAGCCGACCUGAGAGGGUGAUCGGCCACACUGGGACUGAGGCACGGCCCAGACUCCUACGGGAGGCAGCAGUAGGGAAUCUUCGGCAAUGGACGGAAGUCUGACCGAGCAACGCCGCGUGAGUGCAGAAGGUUUUCGGAUCGUAAAGCUCUGUUGUAAGAGAAGAACGAGUGUGAGAGUGGAAAGUUCACACUGUGACGGUAUCUUACCAGAAAGGGACGGCUAACUACGUG